Molecule: ribosomal RNA, 436 nt
Filed under: Staphylococcus aureus
Lineage: Bacteria; Bacillati; Bacillota; Bacilli; Caryophanales; Staphylococcaceae
Description: bacterial SSU rRNA
Rfam family: Bacterial small subunit ribosomal RNA
Source: RNAcentral
AACCCUUAAGCUUAGUUGCCAUCAUUAAGUUGGGCACUCUAAGUUGACUGCCGGUGACAAACCGGAGGAAGGUGGGGAUGACGUCAAAUCAUCAUGCCCCUUAUGAUUUGGGCUACACACGUGCUACAAUGGACAAUACAAAGGGCAGCGAAACCGCGAGGUCAAGCAAAUCCCAUAAAGUUGUUCUCAGUUCGGAUUGUAGUCUGCAACUCGACUACAUGAAGCUGGAAUCGCUAGUAAUCGUAGAUCAGCAUGCUACGGUGAAUACGUUCCCGGGUCUUGUACACACCGCCCGUCACACCACGAGAGUUUGUAACACCCGAAGCCGGUGGAGUAACCUUUUAGGAGCUAGCCGUCGAAGGUGGGACAAAUGAUUGGGGUGAAGUCGUAACAAGGUAGCCGUAUCGGAAGGUGCGGCUGGAUCACCUCCUUUCUA